Molecule: ribosomal RNA, 537 nt
Filed under: uncultured bacterium
Lineage: Bacteria
Description: partial 16S ribosomal RNA
Rfam family: Bacterial small subunit ribosomal RNA
Source: RNAcentral
UGGGGGAAUAUUGCACAAUGGGCGCAAGCCUGAUGCAGCAACGCCGCGUGAGGGAUGACGGCCUUCGGGUUGNAAACCUCUUUUAGUAGGGAAGAAGCGAAAGUGACGGUACCUGCAGAAAAAGCACCGGCUAACUACGUGCCAGCAGCCGCGGUAAUACGUAGGGUGCGAGCGUUGUCCGGAAUUAUUGGGCGUAAAGAGCUCGUAGGCGGUCUGUCGCGUCUGCUGUGAAAACCCGAGGCUCAACCUCGGGCCUGCAGUGGGUACGGGCAGACUAGAGUGCGGUAGGGGAGAAUGGAAUUCCUGGUGUAGCGGUGGAAUGCGCAGAUAUCAGGGGGGAACACCGAUGGCGAAGGCAGUUCUCUGGGCCGUAACUGACGCUGAGGAGCGAAAGCGUGGGGAGCGAACAGGAUUAGAUACCCUGGUAGUCCACGCCGUAAACGUUGGGCGCUAGAUGUGGGGACCAUUCCACGGUUUCCGUGUCGCAGCUAACGCAUUAAGCGCCCCGCCUGGGGAGUACGGCCGCAAGGCUAAAAC